UACAGAGGUCUCAAGCGUUGUUCGGAUUCAUUGGGCGUAAAGGGUGUGUAGGUGGCGCGCUAAGUCGGGUGUGAAAUUUCGGAGCUUAACUCCGAAACUGCAUUCGAUACUGGCGUGCUUGAGGACUGGAGAGGAGACUGGAAUUCAUGGUGUAGCAGUGAAAUGCGUAGAGAUCAUGAGGAAGACCAGUGGCGAAGGCGGGUCUCUGGACAGUACCUGACACUGAGACA
RNAcentral lists this ribosomal RNA (230 nucleotides) under uncultured bacterium. RNAcentral describes it as "partial 16S ribosomal RNA". It matches the Rfam family "Bacterial small subunit ribosomal RNA", at positions 524 to 753 of the family's 1533-position model. The record is from RNAcentral.